This 58-nucleotide small RNA is filed under the name Procavia capensis (Cape rock hyrax). The record is from RNAcentral. Lineage: Eukaryota; Metazoa; Chordata; Mammalia; Hyracoidea; Procaviidae.
GGUGCUGGUGGUGGCACGCCUUGUAGCGCAGGGUCGGGGUUCGAGUCCCCGUGGCGCC